GACGAACGCUGGCGGCGUGCUUAACACAUGCAAGUCGAACGGAAAGGCCCUGCUUUUUUGGGGUGCUCGAGGGGCGAACGGGUGAGUAACACGUUAGUAACCUGCCCUUGACUUUGGGAUAACUUCAGGAAACUGGGGCUAAUACCUGAUAGGUGCUCCUGCUGCAUGGUGGGAGUUGGAAAUUUUCGGUGGUGGGGGAUGGACUCGCGGCUUAUCAGCUUGUUGGUGGGGUAGUGGCUUACCAAGGCUUUGACGGGUAGCCGGCCUGAGAGGGUGACCGGCGACCUUAGGACUGAGAUACGGACCAGACUGCAACGGGAGGCAGCAGUGGGGAAUAUUGCACAAUGGGAGGAAGUCUGAUGCAGAAACGCCGCGUGCGGGAAGACGGCCUUCGGGUUGUAAAACGCUUUAGCCUGUGACGAAGCGUUAGUGACGGUAACGGGUAAAGAAGCACCGGCUAACUACGUG
Molecule: ribosomal RNA, 468 nt
Filed under: uncultured bacterium
Lineage: Bacteria
Description: partial 16S ribosomal RNA
Rfam family: Bacterial small subunit ribosomal RNA
Source: RNAcentral